UCAGGAAAUGCUCCCUCUCAGCCUCUACCAAUUGUUUCGUUCUAGCCUCCAUCCUUAAAGCCUCUUCCCUUGCCUUAGCUUCCAUCUUUUUAGUCUCUUCUUGAAGGAGAACUCUUAAACUGUCCUUCAAACGGUCGUCAAAGCUCACUCUCUGUGGUUUGGGGAAAUUGAAAUAUUGCCUUGGUGAGAUCCCAGCACCUAC
This 202-nucleotide long non-coding RNA is filed under the name Prunus persica (peach). RNAcentral describes it as "long non-coding RNA (PPER_LNC001949)". Lineage: Eukaryota; Viridiplantae; Streptophyta; Magnoliopsida; Rosales; Rosaceae. The record is from RNAcentral.